Molecule: long non-coding RNA, 445 nt
Organism: Poecilia reticulata (guppy)
Lineage: Eukaryota; Metazoa; Chordata; Actinopteri; Cyprinodontiformes; Poeciliidae
Source: RefSeq, a predicted model, not a curated record
GGCACAGAAACUGUUUGUUUGCUUUUGAGAAGCUGAGUUCAACUGCAAGGCAUCAAAAACACAGAUGAACUCUGAAGCAUCAGCUCCCAGAUUGUCAAACCCAUUGUGCAUUUUCCAGAGCCAAAACACUCUUGUCCUCUACGAUCCUCUCUGCAAUUUACAGGGGAGAGGGAACCAUCUGUAAUCUGUGCUUUCUUUGGAUGAGGAGCCGUGGUGAUACUCAGUCACGUCACAAAGUCAACACCAGGAUGGUUUCAUUCAGGGGAAAAGCACACAAAGGCUUCGGCCGUUGACUGAGUGCGAUGAGCAAAGACUGCGAGCCGAGCCGAGCCAGCGGACAUUCCAGGCGAGCCGGGCAUACUUGGAAUCCUGUGGCACAAAGGGACACAUUUCUCUUCCUCUUUGUCACUAAAAACCCCCAUAAACUCCUUUGUUCUUUGGUGAA